CGCUAUCACUCCUACGGGAGGCAGCAGUGGGGAAUAUUGCACAAUGGGGGAAACCCUGAUGCAGCCAUGCCGCGUGUGUGAAGAAGGCCUUCGGGUUGUAAAGCACUUUCAGUAGGGAGGAAGGUAGUGUAGUUAACACCUGCAUUAUUUGACGUUACCUACAGAAGAAGCACCGGCUAACUCCGUGCCAGCAGCCGCGGUAAUACGGAGGGUGCGAGCGUUAAUCGGAAUUACUGGGCGUAAAGCGCAUGCAGGCGGCCUGUUAAGUCAGAUGUGAAAGCCCCGGGGCUUAACCUCGGAAUUGCAUUUGAAACUGGCAGGCUAGAGUCUUGUAGAGGGGGUAGAAUUUCAGGUGUAGCGGUGAAAUGCGUAGAGAUCUGAAGGAAUACCAGUGGCGAAGGCGGCCCCCUGGACAAAGACUGACGCUCAGAUGCGAAAGCGUGGGGAGCAAACAGGAUUAGAUACCCUGGUAG
This 473-nucleotide ribosomal RNA is filed under the name uncultured bacterium. RNAcentral's name for it is "bacterial SSU rRNA". It matches the Rfam family "Bacterial small subunit ribosomal RNA", at positions 328 to 793 of the family's 1533-position model. The record is from RNAcentral.